CCAAUUCCUGCACAGGCGGCUACAGCCAACAACCACGGGCGAGUGAACAAGCAGGGUGUCUGCUCCACCUGCCUCUCAGCAGACAUUAGCACCGCAACGCCUCCAACAUCAAGUGCCAGGAGUUCUCGCUUCAUGGAGAGUUUUAGGAAACUACAAGAUAGAACAAAGCAUAUACAUCCUUUGCCAGCUGUCUUUGGAAACCGGCUCUGUUUGCUCAUGCGCAGAAAAAAGCCAAGCCCCGCGCUGAUAUUGACAAGAACAAGAUGAAUGACCCCCUGGAGACCAUAGGGUUUGUAUUCGAGUUUCCAUCACCUUUUCAUCCUUUUGUCCCCCAUCUUGAUUCACAUGCAGAUGAACCGAGACCAACUCUUCACUAAAUAAGCUUUUCACUCCAGUUUGGAAGGUAGAGGGAACAUCUAAAUAUUUAUGAGGCUUUUCUCCCGGGUUUGUGAUGCGC
RNAcentral lists this long non-coding RNA (457 nucleotides) under Ursus maritimus (polar bear). RNAcentral's name for it is "lncRNA (ENSUMAG00000011672.1)". Lineage: Eukaryota; Metazoa; Chordata; Mammalia; Carnivora; Ursidae. The record is from RNAcentral.